GAGAUUUCCCACCGCGUUAGGCGGGUAAGAUCCCUCGAAGAUGACGAGGUCGAUAGGUCCGAGGUGGAAGCGUGGCGACACGUGGAGCUGACGGAUACUAAUCGAUCGAGGGCUUAACCUA
RNAcentral lists this ribosomal RNA (121 nucleotides) under Geobacillus thermocatenulatus. Its description in RNAcentral is "partial 23S ribosomal RNA". It matches the Rfam family "Bacterial large subunit ribosomal RNA", at positions 2806 to 2925 of the family's 2925-position model. The record is from RNAcentral. Lineage: Bacteria; Bacillati; Bacillota; Bacilli; Caryophanales; Anoxybacillaceae.